GGCAAGAUGGCCGAGUGGUUAAGGCGGUAGAUUUAAGCGAAUUAAACGCAUAAACCCUACUAUCGAGAGAUUCCUGGGUUCGACCCCCAGUCUUGCCA
Aspergillus coremiiformis is the source of this 98-nucleotide non-coding RNA. NCBI's taxonomy places the organism in Eukaryota, Fungi, Ascomycota, Eurotiomycetes, Eurotiales, Aspergillaceae. The record is from the annotation of a GenBank genome assembly.